UGCCAGCACCGCGGUAAUACGUAGGGGGCGAGCGUUAAUCGGAAUUACUGGGCGUAAAGCGCGCGUAGGCGGCUUUGCAAGUCAGGUGUGAAAUCCCACGGCUCAACCGUGGAACUGCGCUUGAAACCACUAAUCUUGAGGGAGUCAGAGGUAAGCGGAACUGAUGGUGGAGCGGUGAAAUGCGUUGAUAUCAUCAGGAACACCGGUGGCGAAAGCGGCUUACUGGGACUCUUCUGACGCUGAGGCACGAAAGCCAGGGGAGCGAACGGGAUUAGAUA
Molecule: ribosomal RNA, 278 nt
Filed under: uncultured bacterium
Lineage: Bacteria
Description: partial 16S ribosomal RNA
Rfam family: Bacterial small subunit ribosomal RNA
Source: RNAcentral